CAAGUUCUCAACCGCGCGUGCGGCUUGGAAGUGGAUUUGCAGGUCUUUUAUGUUCUGCUCCUCUAAAAUGAAUUAGUGGUGGUCUAAUCCUACUAGUACAGGUGUGAUAAAACUUAUCUAUGCCUCUAGUAUCAUGUUGCCGCUUCUGAAUGAUGAAUAAGUUGGUGA
RNAcentral lists this unclassified non-coding RNA (168 nucleotides) under uncultured Inocybe. Its description in RNAcentral is "sequence contains ITS2". The record is from RNAcentral. Lineage: Eukaryota; Fungi; Basidiomycota; Agaricomycetes; Agaricales; Cortinariaceae.